UUAGAGUUUGAUCCUGGCUCAGAAGGAACGCUGGCAGCGUGCAUAACACAUGCAAGUCGAACGAUGAAGCAUUCUUCGGAAUGUGGAAGAGUGGCGAACGGGUGAGGAACACGUAAGAAUCUGCCCCUCGGUCGGGGACAACUCUUGGAAACGAGAGCUAAUACCCGAUACUCUGUGGAGUGAAAGAAUUUCGCCGAGGGAUGAUCUUGCGUCUGAUUAGCUAGUUGGUGUGGUAAUGGCACACCAAAGCGACGAUCAGUAGCUGGUCUGAGAGGAUGAACAGCCACAUUGGAACUGAGACACGGUCCAAACUCCUACGGGAGGCAGCAGUGGGGAAUUUUCCGCAAUGGACGAAAGUCUGACGGAGCGACGCUGCGUGAAGGAUGACGGCCUGCGGGUUGUAAACUUCUUUUCUCGAAGAAGAAGCUCUGACGGUAUUCGAGGAAUAAGCAUCGGCUAACUCCGUGCCAGCAGCCGCGGUAAUACGGAGGAUGCAAGUGUUAUUCGGAAUGAUUGGGCGUAAAGCGUCUGUAGGCUGUAUAGAAAGUCUUUUGUUAAAUGCCUCGGCUCAACCGAGAUCCAGCAAAGGAAACUUUUAUACUUGAGGGAAGUAGAGGUACAGGGAAUUCCCGGUGGAGCGGUGAAAUGCGUAGAUAUCGGGAGGAACACCAAUAUGGCGAAGGCACUGUACUGGGCUUUACCUGACGCUCAGAGACG
RNAcentral lists this ribosomal RNA (717 nucleotides) under uncultured Micromonas. Its description in RNAcentral is "bacterial SSU rRNA". It matches the Rfam family "Bacterial small subunit ribosomal RNA", at positions 1 to 755 of the family's 1533-position model. Lineage: Eukaryota; Viridiplantae; Chlorophyta; Mamiellophyceae; Mamiellales. The record is from RNAcentral.